RNAcentral lists this ribosomal RNA (497 nucleotides) under uncultured bacterium. RNAcentral's name for it is "partial 16S ribosomal RNA". It matches the Rfam family "Bacterial small subunit ribosomal RNA", at positions 28 to 507 of the family's 1533-position model. The record is from RNAcentral.
GAUGAACGCUGGCGGCGUGCCUAAUACAUGCAAGUCGAGCGAACGGACGAGAAGCUUGCUUCUCUGAUGUUAGCGGCGGACGGGUGAGUAACACGUGGAUAACCUACCUAUAAGACUGGGAUAACUUCGGGAAACCGGAGCUAAUACCGGAUAAUAUUUUGAACCGCAUGGUUCAAAAGUGAAAGACGGUCUUGCUGUCACUUAUAGAUGGAUCCGCGCUGCAUUAGCUAGUUGGUAAGGUAACGGCUUACCAAGGCAACGAUGCAUAGCCGACCUGAGAGGGUGAUCGGCCACACUGGAACUGAGACACGGUCCAGGCUCCUACGGGAGGCAGCAGUAGGGAAUCUUCCGCAAUGGGCGAAAGCCUGACGGAGCAACGCCGCAUGAGUGAUGAAGGUCUUCGGAUCGUAAAACUCUGUUAUUAGGGAAGAACAUAUGUGUAAGUAACUGUGCACAUCUUGACGGUACCUAAUCAGAAAGCCACGGCUAACUACGUG